This 104-nucleotide small nuclear RNA is filed under the name Macaca fascicularis (crab-eating macaque). The record is from RNAcentral. Lineage: Eukaryota; Metazoa; Chordata; Mammalia; Primates; Cercopithecidae.
GUGCUCACUUUGGCAGCACACACACUAAAAUUGGAACGAUACAGAGAUUAGCAUGGACCCUGCACAAAGAUGACAUGCAAACUGGUGAAGCAUUUCAUAUUUUU